AGUCAAGUAAUUAAGUGCAUGUGGUGGAUGCCUUGGCAGUCAGAGGCGAUGAAAGACGUGAUAGCCUGCGAAAAGCUCCGGGGAGGCGGCAAAUAUCCUUUGAUCCGGAGAUGUCUGAAUGGGGGAACCCACCUACUUUAAGGUAGGUAUUGCAACAUGAAUACAUAGUGUUGCAAGGCGAACGAGGGGAAGUGAAACAUCUCAGUACCCUUAGGAAAAGAAAUCAAUUGAGAUUCCCUCAGUAGCGGCGAGCGAACGGGGAUCAGCCCAUUAAGUUAUGUGUGUUUUAGUGGAACGCUCUGGGAAGUGCGAACGUAGAGGGUGAUAUUCCCGUACACGAAAGGGCACACAUAAUGAUGACGAGUAGGGCGAGGCACGUGAAACCUUGUCUGAAUAUGGGGGGACCAUCCUCCAAGGCUAAAUACUCCUGACUGACCGAUAGUGAACCAGUACCGUGAGGGAAAGGCGAAAAGAACCCCUGUGAGGGGAGUGAAAUAGAUCCUGAAACCGCAUGCAUACAAGCAGUGGGAGCACCUUCGUGGUGUGACUGCGUACCUUUUGUAUAAUGGGUCAGCGACUUAUAUUCAGUAGCGAGGUUAACCGUAUAGGGGAGCCGUAGAGAAAUCGAGUCUUAAUAGGGCGUUUAGUUGCUGGGUAUAGACCCGAAACCAGGCGAUCUAUCCAUGAGCAGGUUGAAGGUUGGGUAACACUAACUGGAGGACCGAACCCACUGUCGUUGAAAAGCCAGGGGAUGACUUGUGGAUAGGGGUGAAAGGCUAAUCAAGCCUGGUGAUAGCUGGUUCUCCCCGAAAGCUAUUUAGGUAGCGCCUCGGACGAAUACCAUAGGGGGUAGAGCACUGUUUCGGCUAGGGGGUCAUCCCGACUUACCAAACCGAUGCAAACUCCGAAUACCUAUGAG
Molecule: ribosomal RNA, 919 nt
Filed under: Acinetobacter baumannii
Lineage: Bacteria; Pseudomonadati; Pseudomonadota; Gammaproteobacteria; Moraxellales; Moraxellaceae
Description: partial 23S ribosomal RNA
Rfam family: Bacterial large subunit ribosomal RNA
Source: RNAcentral